Molecule: long non-coding RNA, 449 nt
Organism: Triticum dicoccoides
Lineage: Eukaryota; Viridiplantae; Streptophyta; Magnoliopsida; Poales; Poaceae
Exons: 2
Source: RefSeq, a predicted model, not a curated record
GGGCGUGCGUUCUCCAGCCCGUCAGAUGGCCAGAGGCCUCGACGCCUCGUCGCGGCCGCGCUCCGCAUCAGGGCGACGCCGGCUCUACGCGCGGUGAGCCAGUGAGCAGCAAGAUCAGUCUACUCUCCCUCCCCAUUCGGAAAAGCAUGAGAGAAAUGUGAAAGCGAAGGGAGGAGGGAGAGGAGUCGGUCCACUGAGGAGACUGUAGCAUUGGAUGAGAUCAACUUUGUAAGGUGGUUUCAAGACUCCAUGUCUGUGUUGCCAAGGUCUGUGGUUGGUUUUGUUGCGUGUUGAUGCGUGAGCUAUGCAUUUUUUUUUAAUAAUUUGCUUUUCUACAUUCUCAAUGUCUUGACUAGUUUUUGAUAUCGUGAUGGUGUAGAGCCUGGAUAUAAUUUGCAUCUUCUUGCUAUUAACAUAUCCACGUUAUCGUAGAAAUGUGCAAAAUGUUA